UGCACAGUUUCACACCAUACUGAUAGAACGUGACUCUGUGUGAGUGUGUGAAUGCACCGCUGAACAAAGACAAAGAAAGAGACGAAGUGGUGCUCGCGUGUCACAGAAGAAGAAAAAAAAAAAGAAUGGGUACACAUGGAAUUACGCGUAGAAGCAAGUGCCACUGAUGAAUGGGGCGUUGCACCCGGUAGCUGCAAUGAAUGGCCAUGCCACAAGGCAAAGCAGGUCUUGAACAGUAGGAAUAAAGUGCACUCGGUUACACGGAAUAAUUGCACUUGACGCUGGAGGGUUCCCACCGGACUAACAAUACUUUCGCUAUUGUACGAGGGCAACAAUGUAUCAGCAGGUAGCCGAUCAUCGAUCCCUCCGGUCAAUGGCCUUGCAAUGCACGGCCGAGAUCUUCUCGUCUGUAUGUCUGUGCGAGGUGCUAAUACAAGAAUCAGAUCCUUCUUACGUAUUUACCUGGUGGCAAUUCUCGUUCGCUCUUCCUCCUGAUUAAACUUCCAAUUUCUCCUCUUUGUUCUUCUGUAGCAAUAACAUUCUAUCUCUGCAAACACAUUGAGGGAUAAAGUGUAAUGUCAAUUGA
Frieseomelitta varia is the source of this 586-nucleotide long non-coding RNA. RefSeq lists it as uncharacterized. NCBI's taxonomy places the organism in Eukaryota, Metazoa, Arthropoda, Insecta, Hymenoptera, Apidae. The transcript is spliced from 2 exons. The record is from RefSeq and is a predicted model, not a curated record.